GAUGAACGCUAGCUACAGGCUUAACACAUGCAAGUCGAGGGGAAACGACAUCGAAAGCUUGCUUUUGAUGGGCGUCGACCGGCGCACGGGUGAGUAACGCGUAUCCAACCUGCCCACCACUUGGGGAUAACCUUGCGAAAGUAAGACUAAUACCCAAUGACGUCUCUAGAAGACAUCUGAAAGAGAUUAAAGAUUUAUCGGUGAUGGAUGGGGAUGCGUCUGAUUAGCUUGUUGGCGGGGUAACGGCCCACCAAGGCGACGAUCAGUAGGGGUUCUGAGAGGAAGGUCCCCCACAUUGGAACUGAGACACGGUCCAAACUCCUACGGGAGGCAGCAGUGAGGAAUAUUGGUCAAUGGACGAGAGUCUGAACCAGCCAAGUAGCGUGCAGGAUGACGGCCCUAUGGGUUGGAAACUGCUUUUAUAAGGGAAUAAAGUGAGUCGCGUGAGACUUUUUGCAUGUACCUUAGGAAUAAGGACCGGCUAAUUCCGU
RNAcentral lists this ribosomal RNA (491 nucleotides) under uncultured bacterium. RNAcentral's name for it is "partial 16S ribosomal RNA". It matches the Rfam family "Bacterial small subunit ribosomal RNA", at positions 28 to 506 of the family's 1533-position model. The record is from RNAcentral.